Myotis brandtii (Brandt's bat) is the source of this 75-nucleotide non-coding RNA. The record is from Rfam. Lineage: Eukaryota; Metazoa; Chordata; Mammalia; Chiroptera; Vespertilionidae.
GGUGGUUCUCGGGUGAUGCACCCAGAACCAGAGAAGAGGGAGACCGAUUCCAGGGUGCAUCACCCAAGAACCACC